AUUAUUUUGGCAGAUUAGUGCAAUGAAUUUAGAAUUCUUAUAUAUAAAUUUUAUUUAUAGAUAAUA
RNAcentral lists this transfer RNA (66 nucleotides) under Typhlocharis sp. 7 CA-2017. RNAcentral's name for it is "tRNA-Leu". The record is from RNAcentral. Lineage: Eukaryota; Metazoa; Arthropoda; Insecta; Coleoptera; Carabidae.